Molecule: non-coding RNA, 75 nt
Organism: Trichomonas vaginalis G3
Lineage: Eukaryota; Parabasalia; Trichomonadida; Trichomonadidae
Source: Rfam
AGCGAUGUGGAACAGUUGGUUUAGUUCGUAAGGCUCAUAACCUUAAGGUCGCUGGUUCGAGUCCAGUCAUCGCUC